GAUGAAGAACGUAGCGAAAUGCGAUAAGUAGUGUGAAUUGCAGAAUUCAGUGAAUCAUCGAAUCUUUGAACGCACAUUGCGCCCGCCAGUAUUCUGGCGGGCAUGCCUGUUCGAGCGUCAUUACAACCCUCAGGCCCCCGGGCCUGGCGUUGGGGAUCGGCGGAGCCCCCCGUGGGCACACGCCGUCCCCCAAAUGCAGUGGCGGUCCCGCCGCAGCUUCCAUCGCGUAGUAGCUAACACCUCGCGACUGGAGAGCGGCGCGGCCACGCCGUAAAACACCCAACUCUUUUGAAGUUGACCUCGAAUCAGGUAGGAAUACCCGCUGAACUUAAGCAUAUCAAUAAGCGGAGGA
RNAcentral lists this unclassified non-coding RNA (352 nucleotides) under soil metagenome. Its description in RNAcentral is "partial contains 5.8S ribosomal RNA, internal transcribed spacer 2, and large subunit ribosomal RNA". The stretch from base 1 to 120 matches the Rfam family "5.8S ribosomal RNA", at positions 35 to 154 of the family's 154-position model. The record is from RNAcentral.